GCCCGGGUUGCUCAGUCGGUAAAGCAUCUGACUUUGGCUCAGGUCAUGAUCUCAUGGUCCGUGAGUUCGAGCCCCACAUUGGGUU
This 85-nucleotide transfer RNA is filed under the name Felis catus (domestic cat). It matches the Rfam family "tRNA". Rfam says of the family: Transfer RNA (tRNA) molecules are approximately 80 nucleotides in length. Their secondary structure includes four short double-helical elements and three loops (D, anti-codon, and T loops). Lineage: Eukaryota; Metazoa; Chordata; Mammalia; Carnivora; Felidae. The record is from Rfam by way of RNAcentral.